UACGGGGGGGGUAAGCGUUGUCCGGAUUCAUUGGGCGUAAAGAGCUCGUAGGCGGUUCGAUAAGUCGGGUGUGAAACCUCCAGGCUCAACCUGGAGACGCCACCCGAUACUGUCGUGACUAGAGUCCAGUAGGGGAGCGUGGAAUUCCUGGUGUAGCGGUGAAAUGCGCAGAUAUCAGGAGGAACACCAGCGGCGAAGGCGGCGCUCUGGGCUGGAACUGACGCUGAGGAGCGAAAGCGUGGGGAGCGAACAGG
Molecule: ribosomal RNA, 254 nt
Filed under: uncultured bacterium
Lineage: Bacteria
Description: partial 16S ribosomal RNA
Rfam family: Bacterial small subunit ribosomal RNA
Source: RNAcentral